This 926-nucleotide ribosomal RNA is filed under the name Vibrio cholerae. RNAcentral describes it as "partial 23S ribosomal RNA". It matches the Rfam family "Bacterial large subunit ribosomal RNA", at positions 1 to 980 of the family's 2925-position model. Lineage: Bacteria; Pseudomonadati; Pseudomonadota; Gammaproteobacteria; Vibrionales; Vibrionaceae. RNAcentral also lists the same sequence under 1 other name. The record is from RNAcentral.
GGUUAAGUGACUAAGCGUACACGGUGGAUGCCUGGGCAGUCAGAGGCGAUGAAGGACGUACUAACUUGCGAUAAGCGCAGAUAAGGCAGUAAGAGCCGUUUGAGUCUGCGAUUUCCGAAUGGGGAAACCCAACUGCAUAAGCAGUUACUGUUAACUGAAUACAUAGGUUAACAGAGCAAACCGGGGGAACUGAAACAUCUAAGUACCCCGAGGAGAAGAAAUCAACCGAGAUUCCGGUAGUAGCGGCGAGCGAACCUGGAUUAGCCCUUAAGCACUCGGUGAAGUAGGUGAACAAGCUGGAAAGCUUGGCGAUACAGGGUGAUAGCCCCGUAACCGACGCUUCAUCGAGCGUGAAAUCGAGUAGGGCGGGACACGUGAUAUCCUGUCUGAAUAUGGGGGGACCAUCCUCCAAGGCUAAAUACUCCUGACUGACCGAUAGUGAACCAGUACCGUGAGGGAAAGGCGAAAAGAACCCCUGUGAGGGGAGUGAAAUAGAACCUGAAACCGUGUACGUACAAGCAGUAGGAGCACCUUCGUGGUGUGACUGCGUACCUUUUGUAUAAUGGGUCAGCGACUUAUAUUCAGUGGCAAGGUUAACCGUAUAGGGGAGCCGUAGCGAAAGCGAGUCUUAACUGGGCGCUCAGUCUCUGGAUAUAGACCCGAAACCGGGUGAUCUAGCCAUGGGCAGGUUGAAGGUUGAGUAACAUCAACUGGAGGACCGAACCGACUAAUGUUGAAAAAUUAGCGGAUGACUUGUGGCUAGGGGUGAAAGGCCAAUCAAACUCGGAGAUAGCUGGUUCUCCCCGAAAGCUAUUUAGGUAGCGCCUCGGACGAAUACUACUGGGGGUAGAGCACUGUUAAGGCUAGGGGGUCAUCCCGACUUACCAACCCUUUGCAAACUCCGAAUACCAGUAAGUACUAUCCGG